RNAcentral lists this ribosomal RNA (482 nucleotides) under uncultured bacterium. RNAcentral describes it as "partial 16S ribosomal RNA". It matches the Rfam family "Bacterial small subunit ribosomal RNA", at positions 30 to 507 of the family's 1533-position model. The record is from RNAcentral.
AUUGAACGCUGGCGGCAUGCUUUACACAUGCAAGUCGAACGGUAACAGGCCGCAAGGUGCUGACGAGUGGCGGACGGGGGAGUAAUACAUCGGAACGUGCCCAGUCGUGGGGGAUAACUACUCGAAAGAGUAGCUAAUACCGCAUACGAUCUAUGGAUGAAAGCGGGGGACCGUAAGGCCUCGCGCGAGUGGAGCGGCCGAUGUCAGAUUAGGUAGUUGGUGGGGUAAAGGCUCACCAAGCCAACGAUUUGUAGCUGGUCUGAGAGGACGACCAGCCACACUGGGACUGAGACACGGCCCAGACUCCUACGGGAGGCAGCAGUGGGGAAUUUUGGACAAUGGGCGCAAGCCUGAUCCAGCAAUGCCGCGUGCAGGAAGAAGGCCUUCGGGUUGUAAACUGCUUUUGUACGGAACGAAACGGCUCUGGUUAAUACCCGGGGCUAAUGACGGUACCGUAAGAAUAAGCACCGGCUAACUACGUG